RNAcentral lists this ribosomal RNA (724 nucleotides) under Exiguobacterium sp. 10(2011). Its description in RNAcentral is "bacterial SSU rRNA". It matches the Rfam family "Bacterial small subunit ribosomal RNA", at positions 90 to 798 of the family's 1533-position model. Lineage: Bacteria; Bacillati; Bacillota; Bacilli; Caryophanales. The record is from RNAcentral.
CNNUUGUGUUGGAUGUUAAUCNUCUGUUAAAUGAACCUGCCCAUAGGUCCUUGGGAUAACCACGAGAAAUCGGGGCUAAUACCGGAUGUGUCAUCGGACCGCAUGGUCCGCUGAUGAAAGGCGCUCCGGCGUCGCCCAUGGAUGGCUUUGCGGUGCAUUAGCUAGUUGGUGGGGUAACGGCCCACCAAGGCGACGAUGCAUAGCCGACCUGAGAGGGUGAUCGGCCACACUGGGACUGAGACACGGCCCAGACUCCUACGGGAGGCAGCAGUAGGGAAUCUUCCACAAUGGACGAAAGUCUGAUGGAGCAACGCCGCGUGAACGAUGAAGGCUUUCGGGUCGUAAAGUUCUGUUGUAAGGGAAGAACAAGUGCCGCAGGCAAUGGCGGCACCUUGACGGUACCUUGCGAGAAAGCCACGGCUAACUACGUGCCAGCAGCCGCGGUAAUACGUAGGUGGCAAGCGUUGUCCGGAAUUAUUGGGCGUAAAGCGCGCGCAGGCGGCCUCUUAAGUCUGAUGUGAAAGCCCCCGGCUCAACCGGGGAGGGCCAUUGGAAACUGGGAGGCUUGAGUAUAGGAGAGAAGAGUGGAAUUCCACGUGUAGCGGUGAAAUGCGUAGAGAUGUGGAGGAACACCAGUGGCGAAGGCGACUCUUUGGUCUAUAACUGACUCUCGAGGUNCGAAAGCCGUGUGGAGCUUACAGGAUUAGUUACCCUGGUAGUUCAC